This 526-nucleotide ribosomal RNA is filed under the name uncultured bacterium. Its description in RNAcentral is "bacterial SSU rRNA". It matches the Rfam family "Bacterial small subunit ribosomal RNA", at positions 984 to 1509 of the family's 1533-position model. The record is from RNAcentral.
ACAUCCAGAGAAUUUAGCAGAGAUGCUUUAGUGCCUUCGGGGACUCUGAGACAGGUGCUGCAUGGCUGUCGUCAGCUCGUGUUGUGAAAUGUUGGGUUAAGUCCCGNAACGAGCGCAACCCUUAUCCUUUGUUGCCAGCACGUAAUGGUGGGAACUCAAAGGAGACUGCCGGUGAUAAACCGGAGGAAGGUGGGGAUGACGUCAAGUCAUCAUGGCCCUUACGAGUAGGGCUACACACGUGCUACAAUGGCGCAUACAAAGAGAAGCGACCUCGCGAGAGCAAGCGGACCUCAUAAAGUGCGUCGUAGUCCGGAUUGGAGUCUGCAACUCGACUCCAUGAAGUCGGAAUCGCUAGUAAUCGUAAAUCAGAAUGUUACGGUGAAUACGUUCCCGGGCCUUGUACACACCGCCCGUCACACCAUGGGAGUGGGUUGCAAAAGAAGUAGAUAGCUUAACCUUCGGGAGGGCGUUUACCACUUUGUGAUUCAUGACUGGGGUGAAGUCGUAACAAGGUAAGCGUAGUGCU